RNAcentral lists this long non-coding RNA (1325 nucleotides) under Piliocolobus tephrosceles (Ugandan red Colobus). RNAcentral describes it as "lncRNA (ENSPTEG00000024951.1)". The record is from RNAcentral. Lineage: Eukaryota; Metazoa; Chordata; Mammalia; Primates; Cercopithecidae.
UUUAUUUGGCAUUUAUUUGGCAUUUAUCGCUUUUUUUUUCUUUUUUUCUUUUUUUAAAUUGCUGUAACUUAAAAGUAUUGCGUAUAAUAUAAUUUCGUCAAUGUAUGUGAAAGUAUAAAUACAUACGAACACAUAUAUAUAUAUAUAUAUAUAUAUAUGCAUAUGUAAACAUAUUUAUGUAUUAUUCAUACAUAUUUGUUUUUAUUUAUGUAUAACAAAUAUUGAAGAUGUUAACAUUUAUAAAAAAGGCCUCUAAGGGUUUCGUCUACUGUUGCUCCUGUUGUAAAAAGUAUGGAUAAAAAAAAAAUAUGAGAAUAAACUAGCUGACAUAAGAAUGUACCUGUGUUUGCAUAUGAACAUAUAUGUAUAUAUAUACUUGUGUUAACUAUUAAGUAAACUUAUGUUUAAACCUGUAAACAUAGUCCAUUUAUGUCCGUUCAUUUGUGUUCGCUCAUUUGUGUUUUCUCAUUUGUGUUCUCUCAUUUGUGUUCUCUCAUUUGUGUUCAUCUCUGAUCAAGCGUUUUUAAAUAACAUUACAUUGAUAAAAAUAUAAUGAUUAUUUUUAAUAAUAUAUCAGCAAAAUAUAUUAUUUUAUGCACAUUUCGUGAGACGCUCUUAACAUGUUCAUAGCACAUUCGUUAUUUUUUAAAAACGGCGUAGUUCUUGUGUUUUACAUUUACUUGUCUCUAAUUUUUAUAUUUUGCUUUACUUUCAAAUUUUCUAGUUUUAAAGUUCGUAAGUUUUUUAGUGAAGAUUAUUUUUGGACUAAAGCCAACAUCGGCCCACUUUGUAUUGGCAUUUUAACAGCACCCUAUUGGUUUUCAGCAUUAAAAAAUUUUUACUGGACUACACGUUAUGAACGAUUAAAUCAACAGGAAAUAUUGUCUGAUAGAUUUACUUGGUUAUAUGAAAGGAUGUUAGAAGACGAAGUACAUAAAACUCUUUUACGCAAAUUGCCUUCAUACAAUUUUAAAGACAGUGGUCCAGAAAAUAUAUUAGGACCCAGCAAAAUAUAACAUUUUUUUUUUUUUUUUUUUUUUUUGGCUGUAAUCACAUAUACAUACAUAUAUAUAUGUAUAUAUAUUUAUGGUAAAUUAAGAGUGAUUGAUUUAAAAUAAUUAUGUAUAGUAUAAUAACGAUAGUACAGAGUUGCAAAUAUUAAUUUAUAUAUAUAUAUAUAUAUAUAUAUAUUUACAUGUGGAUGAACCACCUAUGUAUGGUUCCAUUAGAAUAUUGCUAAUAUAUAUUCUAACGAACUAUCUAACUGUAUUUAUAAUUAUAUUACUAUACAUACCUUUUUACAAAACAUCACAAUAAAUAUAGCC